This 274-nucleotide ribosomal RNA is filed under the name uncultured bacterium. RNAcentral describes it as "partial 16S ribosomal RNA". It matches the Rfam family "Bacterial small subunit ribosomal RNA", at positions 523 to 796 of the family's 1533-position model. The record is from RNAcentral.
CUACGGAGGGUGCAAGCGUUAUUCGGAAUCACUGGGCGUAAAGGACGCGUAGGCGGGUUGGCAAGUCAGAUGUGAAAUCCUACAGCUUAACUGUAGAACUGCAUUUGAAACUGCUAACCUAGAGUAUGGGAGGGGGAGAUGGAAUUAGUGGUGUAGGGGUAAAAUCCGUAGAUAUCACUAGGAAUACCGAAAGCGAAGGCGAUCUCCUGGAACAUAACUGACGCUAAGGCGUGAAAGCGUGGGGAGCAAACAGAAUUAGAAACCCUUGUAGUCC